AUUUCUUUACUAACACCUUCCAUCUCGGAACUUUCCCCCCUUUUUCUGACCACGACAUAUAGGCACAAGAAGACUGUGCAGUACGAUCAAGCUAAAUCUAAAACCUACAAGGCGAUUCAAGAAUCAGAACAUGGAGACUUCCACACUCAAGAGAUAUCGAAGCCAGUGCAACCAAAAGUAUUCACGCCUGUCCAAGGAACGAUAGAAAAAGCUCCGAUUAGCAAUGGCCAUGGACAUCAAAAUCAUAAUAAGUUGACAGCUCCCUAUCAUCCAAAUCCAGGAC
This is a long non-coding RNA of Acyrthosiphon pisum (pea aphid), 283 nucleotides long. RefSeq lists it as uncharacterized. The record is from RefSeq and is a predicted model, not a curated record. NCBI's taxonomy places the organism in Eukaryota, Metazoa, Arthropoda, Insecta, Hemiptera, Aphididae. The transcript has 3 exons.